AUUUCCUCGUAGGAAUCAAAAGAAGAACUUUUUGGUGUGUAGUCGCGGGUCUACUUUGGAUAAAUGUAUAGUGGGACUGGAGGGUGAUGAUGUAGAUGAGGGAGAAGAGGGGCUCGAUGGGUUGCAGUGGUGGUGAUGGUGGUCGUCCGUAACGUCUCCGAUGAUCAAGGUGCAGGAAAGGAUGUGG
Microplitis mediator is the source of this 187-nucleotide long non-coding RNA. RefSeq lists it as uncharacterized. NCBI's taxonomy places the organism in Eukaryota, Metazoa, Arthropoda, Insecta, Hymenoptera, Braconidae. The record is from RefSeq and is a predicted model, not a curated record. The transcript is spliced from 2 exons.